CCUGCCCCUAGGAGCAUUGCAGGUAUGGCUGCUAUGUCAUAUGUGCAUCAGUAGGUGGCAGAGAAGAAAGAGGCUAUGUCUAUGCUCAGUGUUCUGACCUGUGAACAUCAGAAUGAUUAGUAACCUAACACU
This is a small nucleolar RNA of Acomys russatus (golden spiny mouse), 132 nucleotides long. RefSeq annotates it as small nucleolar RNA SNORA17. The record is from RefSeq and is a predicted model, not a curated record. The transcript has a single exon. NCBI's taxonomy places the organism in Eukaryota, Metazoa, Chordata, Mammalia, Rodentia, Muridae.